CCUACGGGCGGCAGCAGUGGGGUAUAUUGGGCAAUGGGCGCAAGCCUGACCCAGCAACGCCGCGUGAAGGAAGAAGGCUUUCGGGUUGUAAACUUCUUUUCUCAGGGACGAAGCAAGUGACGGUACCUGAGGAAUAAGCCACGGCUAACUACGUGCCAGCAGCCGCGGUAAUACGUAGGUGGCAAGCGUUCUCCGGAUUUACUGGGUGUAAGGGCGUGUAGGCGGGAAGGCAAGUCAGAUGUGAAAACCAUGGGCUCAACCUGUGGCCUGCAUUUGAAACGGUUUUUUUUGAGUACUGGAGAGGCAGACGGAAGUCCUAGUGUAGCGGUGAAAUGCGUAGAUAUUAGGAGGAACACCAGUGGCGAAGGCGGUCUGCUGGACAGCAACUGACGCUGAGGCGCGAAAGCGUGGGGAGCAAACAGGAUUAGAUACCCGAGUAGUC
This 442-nucleotide ribosomal RNA is filed under the name uncultured bacterium. RNAcentral's name for it is "partial 16S ribosomal RNA". It matches the Rfam family "Bacterial small subunit ribosomal RNA", at positions 338 to 795 of the family's 1533-position model. The record is from RNAcentral.